This is a non-coding RNA of Panthera uncia (snow leopard), 887 nucleotides long. NCBI's taxonomy places the organism in Eukaryota, Metazoa, Chordata, Mammalia, Carnivora, Felidae. The record is from the annotation of a RefSeq genome assembly.
GCUGGAUAGAGAGAGAGCCUAAAAACGAGGAUGGAAGCUAAUAGCAGGGGAGCAUCUGUCAGAGGAAUAACGCAUCCCAGUCCAUUCAAAUCCACCUUCUGCCAGAAUCUGUACAAGGACAAGGUGUGAAGCUGGAGGAAGAAACACCCCCCUGGGUCUGGGACGGUGACAUCACAGGCCAACCACCAACCAAGGCCAAGGAGACCAGAGCCUGGCUCCCUGCCCAGGACACCUAGUUACAUGGUGCUCACCUUGGCCCUGACUCCACCAUGGGCUUCAGGCUGCUCUGCUGUGUGGCUCUCUGUCUCCUGGAAGCAGUCCCCGGGGACACUGCAGUUACCCAGACACCAAAACACCUGGUCGCAGCGACAGGGAGUAAGGGGACCCUGAAGUGCGAACAACGUCUGGGACAUAACGCUAUGUACUGGUACAAACAGAGUGCUCAGAGGCCACCGAAGCUCAUGUUUGCCUACAACUAUAAGGAACUCGCCGAAAAUGACAGUGUCCCCAGUCGCUUCACACCCGAGUGCUCAGACAGCUCCCACCUGCACCUUCACGUGGCCGCCCUACAGCCAGAGGACUCCGCCGUGUAUCUCUGUGCGAGCAGCAAGGACACAGCCCCGCACAGCCAACGGCUCCCCGUGCACAAACUUCCUGGGUGCAGCCGGGGAGCCGUGGGGGCGACCACGGCUCAGCUCGACAUCUCCGGUGGGACCCCAGACAGACAGAAACCCCAGGCCACGACGUGCCGGUCGGUUUGCUGGAUGCGGCAAGGCCCAGUUCCCUGCACAGACGCCCACAGCCUGUGGCCUGGCUCUGCCCGGGGCCAGACUGUGCCCGCGGCUGAGUGCGGGACGGAAAGGGUCCACCUCCAGUUCCUCCGGUAG